This 85-nucleotide transfer RNA is filed under the name Felis catus (domestic cat). It matches the Rfam family "tRNA". Rfam says of the family: Transfer RNA (tRNA) molecules are approximately 80 nucleotides in length. Their secondary structure includes four short double-helical elements and three loops (D, anti-codon, and T loops). Lineage: Eukaryota; Metazoa; Chordata; Mammalia; Carnivora; Felidae. The record is from Rfam by way of RNAcentral.
GCCUGGGUGGCUCAGCCGGUUGAGCACCUGACUUCAGCUCAGGCCAUGAUCUCGCGGUUCGUGAGUUCGAGCCCCUCAUUGGGCU